Molecule: unclassified non-coding RNA, 1640 nt
Filed under: uncultured fungus
Lineage: Eukaryota; Fungi
Description: sequence contains 18S rRNA gene, ITS1, 5.8S rRNA gene, ITS2, 28S rRNA gene
Rfam family: Eukaryotic large subunit ribosomal RNA (bases 646-1640)
Source: RNAcentral
GGAAGGAUCAUUCUUAUGCACAAAAAGUCUACACGACAGUGUUUGAUCUUUUUUGCUCAAAUUAAAUUGCAUAGUCGAUGUAACACAUAUAGAUUUACACGUUUUGUUAAACGAAACGGAUAUAACCCAUGCACUCACAAGUUCAUAUUAUUUCCGUGGAUUAAUCUUAUUUAGCAAUCAAUGGUCUUGUUAUACAGAAACGUUAGUAAAUUAAAGAGUUUUGACAGUGGAUACCUCGGCUUCUAUGACGAUGAAGAACGCAGCGAAACGCGAUAUUUAAUGCGAAUUGCAGAAUUCAGUGAAUCAUCAAAACUUCGAACGCAGUUUGCAAUCAUUGGUUAGGCCUUUGAUUGUGCCUUCUUGACACUCACCCAACACACAAAUUCAACAUUGUCCGUGACAAUAUCAGAUUUGUACUAACACAAAGGGUCAAGCAACCGUUUGCUCACCUUGUAAGAAUAUACUGUCAGAUUUGGUAUUUGAGUCUUUUAAGAAUUCAACUGCAAUCUAAAUUAACAAGAGUUGAAAUCAAAGGGGACCUCAAAGUUUGUUUGAUUACCUCCUGUUGAUUUAGUUUAUUCAGGUUGAGAUUCAGACUCGAACCAAUUCAUAGGCUUACAUAGCUAUGCAAAAUAUAAAUCUUUUGUGUGUCAAGUGAGGCACGGUUACCCGCUGGAUUUAAGCAUAUAAAUAAGCGGAGGAAUGAAAACUAAACAGGAUUCUCUUAGUAACGGCGAGUGAACAGAGAAGAGCUCAAGCAGUUAAUCUCACUGAUUAAAUCAGUGCGAGUUGUGGCUUGUGGAAGCUUAUCCAGAGUGCGGCCCAGGUUAGAGUCCUUUGGAAUAAGGCACCGUUGAGGGUGAUAGUCCCGUUAACAACUUGGAGUUCGCCUUGUACGGAUAGCUUUCUGAGAGUCGGAUUGCUUGGAAGUGCAAUCUUAACGGGAGGUAAAUUCCUUCCAAAGCUCAAUACUCGUAGAAAUCCGAUAGCGCACAAGUACCGCGAGGGAAAUGUGAAAAGAACUCUGAAAAGAGAGUUAAAAGUAUUUGAAACUGUCAAAGAAAAGGGAUAAAAUCUAUUGGAAGUGGAGAAUCAUUACGUUUGGAAGCAAUCCGAACAUUUUUGGAAUGAAUUUCAUAAUGUUUCUUUGCGAUCGAACGUUUAAUGUUUAUCCUGGUACUUGAGUUUGUUAGAGUUGUGCGAGUAGUCAAUCAAGGUGGUAAGCGUGUGAUUGCUUGCAUGAUCCCCGACAACUUGUAAUUACAACUUGCAACACUGUCAUACCCAAUGUACAAAUGGAUUUUCUCCGCCCGUCUUGAAACACGGACCAAGGAGUGUAACGCUUAUGCUAGUAUUUGAGAUUGCAUUCUCAAUUGCGUAAUGAAAGUGAAGGAAAAGUUUUACUUUUCUGAGAUGUCAAUCUGUUUUGCAGCUGCAGCAUCGCCCGGCUUUCUCUUUUGUAGAAGGUACGAGUCACAGCAUAAUCGAUACGACCCGAAAGAUGGUGAGCUAUACCUGCGCAGGGUGAAGCCAGGGGAAACUCUGGUGGAAGCUCGUAGCGUUACUGACGUGCAAAUCGUUCGUCUGACGUGGGUAUAGGGGCGAAAGACCUAUCGAACCAUCUAGUAGCUGGUUCCCUC